Molecule: unclassified non-coding RNA, 400 nt
Filed under: soil metagenome
Description: partial contains 5.8S ribosomal RNA, internal transcribed spacer 2, and large subunit ribosomal RNA
Rfam family: 5.8S ribosomal RNA (bases 1-122)
Source: RNAcentral
GAUGAAGAACGUAGCGAAAUGCGAUACUUGGUGUGAAUUGCAGAAUCCCGUGUACCAUCGAGUCUUUGAACGCAAGUUGCGCCUCAAGCCAUUAGGUUGAGGGCACGUCUGCCUGGGCGUCACAUAUCGUUGCCUGAUGCCAGUUUCCUCGUGAUGGGUGACUGUGCAGGGCGAAUGAUGGCUUCCCGUGAGCAUUGUUGCCUCAUGGUUGGUUGAAAAUUGAGUCCUUGGUAGGGAGCGCCGUGAUAGAUGGUGGUUGAGUGACGAACGAGACCCAAUCAUGUGAGACCCCUACCGAAUUUGGCCUUCAUGACCCACAUGCGUCUUUGGAACGCUCAUGACGAGACCUCAGGUCAGGCGGGGCUACCCGCUGAGUUUAAGCAUAUCAAUAAGCGGAGGA